This 824-nucleotide long non-coding RNA is filed under the name Ananas comosus (pineapple). RNAcentral's name for it is "long non-coding RNA (ACOM_LNC032707)". The record is from RNAcentral. Lineage: Eukaryota; Viridiplantae; Streptophyta; Magnoliopsida; Poales; Bromeliaceae.
AAAACUUCAACAACCCCCCUAUGAUUUCUAACUUUCUCACUUUACUACCCCGUGGUUUAAAGUGUAUCAAUUUGUCCCCCCUGUGAUUUUGUUUUUAUUUUUUCUAUAGUUUUUUUCUUAAUAUUUCGUUAAAUUAUAUACAAAAAAACAUCAGAUAUCCAUCUAGAUUUACCGAAUAUUUACUUUAGUACUCUUUAAUUUUAAUUUUGUUACUGAUUUGAGAAAAAAAAAACAAUAAAAUUGAUAAAAAAAAGAGAAAAAUGAAACCACAAGGGGGCAAAUUGAUACACUUUAAAUCACAGGGUACUAAAAUGAGAACGUUGGAAACCACGGGGGGUUUUUGAAGUUAUCCCUAGAAAUUAAUAGCCUUCUUUUUUGAGAUAAUGCUAUGUCUAGUCUUAUUAGAAAAAGGAAAAAAAUUCAAUCUAAUUUUUUUUUAUAAUUUAGAAAAGAAAUAAUUUUUAUAUCAAUUUUUGCGUUAAUUAAAAAAAAAUAGAUUUUCUUCCUGUUCCAUUUUCCAGAACCUCUCUCUCACUCUCUUUCUCUCUCCUCCCCAACCACCUACCUCUCUCCUCCCCCAGCAGCACUCUCACUCGUGGAUAGUAAAUUCGCGAAUUAUUCGCGAACUUUUCAAGAAACGAAUUAAACUGUCGUUUUCAUACUUUUUCGAAAAAUUUGAAAAAAAACGUGUAUUUAUCGUCAAAAAUAAUUAUUCGCGAAGUAUUCACGAUUCGCGAAUUAUUCGCUCAAAAAAAAAGCACUCGUGGCCGCAGACUCGCGUUGUCGCCGCCCUGGCCAGCACUGCUCGCGUCGUCGCUGCUCUC